CCUACGGGAGGCAGCAGUGAGGAAUAUUGGUCAAUGGGCGUAAGCCUGAACCAGCCAAGUCGCGUGAGGGAUGAAGGUUCUAUGGAUCGUAAACCUCUUUUAUAAGGGAAUAAAGUGCGGGACGUGUCCCGUUUUGUAUGUACCUUAUGAAUAAGGAUCGGCUAACUCCGUGCCAGCAGCCGCGGUAAUACGGAGGAUCCGAGCGUUAUCCGGAUUUAUUGGGUUUAAAGGGUGCGUAGGCGGCCUUUUAAGUCAGCGGUGAAAGUCUGUGGCUCAACCAUAGAAUUGCCGUUGAAACUGGGAGGCUUGAGUAUGUUUGAGGCAGGCGGAAUGCGUGGUGUAGCGGUGAAAUGCUUAGAUAUCACGCAGAACCCCGAUUGCGAAGGCAGCCUGCCAAGCCAUGACUGACGCUGAUGCACGAAAGCGUGGGUAUCAAACAGGAUUAGAGACCCCGGUAGUC
Molecule: ribosomal RNA, 460 nt
Filed under: uncultured bacterium
Lineage: Bacteria
Description: partial 16S ribosomal RNA
Rfam family: Bacterial small subunit ribosomal RNA
Source: RNAcentral